This 588-nucleotide unclassified non-coding RNA is filed under the name Hevea brasiliensis (rubber tree). Lineage: Eukaryota; Viridiplantae; Streptophyta; Magnoliopsida; Malpighiales; Euphorbiaceae. The record is from RNAcentral.
GGGCUUGUCCUUGGCUUAUAAUAAACAGUGAACAUGGUUCCUGUAGAGAUGGCAUGCCAUGCUGUAGCCAGUACUCCUAGAUGCAUGCUAUGACUAGAUAUGACAGAUGAUGGAACAUUACCCUGAUAGCACGUCUAACACCAACUCGAAGUUCCCCGUUCUCACCUCUUAAAAAUAUAAACGCAUCACCAGCAACAAGCCUUUUGGAGCUAACAAAUACACUCCAUCCGCUCUGAAGUAAAUGCCUCCGCGGUUGACCCCGAAAGAUAUGCCUGAAACGCCAUUCAUUACCAUGCAAAUCCUUGGCAACCAAUUCCUGUGUGGGAGGUUGCCUUGACAUAUCCAGGGGCGGCAGACAUUCAUCUGCAUGUCGUCUAAGCACAGAAAACCCACCAUGGGUGCUCGUAUCUGAGGCAGUUAAGGUUUUACAAAAUGAAUGCACAUGAAACCGUGGAGUAGUGGUGGAGGAGUUGGGGGAGCCUCCUUGUCCACUGCACUCUCGUCUUGGUUGGGAUCAGGAAGCAAAGUCACUUGCGCGAAUACCUCAUCGGUAUCCGGUUCAGCCUUCAACUGGACGUUGAUCACGGU